Molecule: long non-coding RNA, 231 nt
Filed under: Gallus gallus (chicken)
Lineage: Eukaryota; Metazoa; Chordata; Aves; Galliformes; Phasianidae
Source: RNAcentral
GCCACUAUCACUUGUUUCUGCCCCAGCAUAGUUUGAGAAAAGGAAGGACAGCAGCUUCAGGGAUGACUUCUGGUACAGCCCCACAACAGUUUCAUUCAGGGGAUCCUUGUUCUUCUCAAGCCAGCCAGAGAUGUUGUAGUCCACUGUGCCAGCAUAGUGCACCAGGGAGAAGUGGGCCUCAGCCUUGCCUUUGGCAGGCUUGGGCUUCUGGAAGUUGUUGGACUUGCCCAG